AAAGCGCGCGUAGGCGGCUUGUUAAGUCGGAUGUGAAAUCCCUGGGCUCAACCUAGGCAUUGCAUUCGAUACUGGCAAGCUAGAGUAUGGGAGAGGAAGGUAGAAUUCCAGGUGUAGCGGUGAAAUGCGUAGAGAUCUGGAGGAAUACCGAUGGCGAAGGCAGCCUUCUGGCCUAAUACUGACGCUGAGGUGCGAAAGCAUGGGGAGCAAACAGGAUUAGAUACCCUAGU
Molecule: ribosomal RNA, 230 nt
Filed under: uncultured bacterium
Lineage: Bacteria
Description: partial 16S ribosomal RNA
Rfam family: Bacterial small subunit ribosomal RNA
Source: RNAcentral